RNAcentral lists this ribosomal RNA (639 nucleotides) under uncultured Actinomycetes bacterium. RNAcentral's name for it is "bacterial SSU rRNA". It matches the Rfam family "Bacterial small subunit ribosomal RNA", at positions 232 to 885 of the family's 1533-position model. The record is from RNAcentral. Lineage: Bacteria; Bacillati; Actinomycetota; Actinomycetes.
CGCGGCCUAUCAGCUUGUUGGUGAGGUAACGGCUCACCAAGGCAUCGACGGGUAGCUGGUCUGAGAGGACGAUCAGCCACACUGGGACUGAGACACGGCCCAGACUCCUACGGGAGGCAGCGGUAGGGAAUCUUGCGCAAUGGGCGAAAGCCUGACGCAGCAACGCCGCGUGGGGGAUGAAUGCCUUCGGGUUGUAAACCCCUUUCAGCAGGGACGAAAAUGACGGUACCUGCAGAAGAAGCUCCGGCCAACUACGUGCCAGCAGCCGCGGUAAUACGUAGGGAGCGAGCGUUGUCCGGAAUUAUUGGGCGUAAAGAGCUCGUAGGCGGUUCAGUAAGUCGGGUGUGAAAACUCAAGGCUCAACCUUGAGACGCCACUCGAUACUGCUGUGACUUGAGUCCGGUAGAGGAGUGUGGAAUUCCUGGUGUAGCGGUGAAAUGCGCAGAUAUCAGGAGGAACACCAGCGGCGAAGGCGGCACUCUGGGCCGGUACUGACGCUGAGGAGCGAAAGCAUGGGGAGCAAACAGGAUUAGAUACCCUGGUAGUCCAUGCCGUAAACGUUGGGCACUAGGUAUGGGAUCAUAUCAACGGAUUCCGUGCCGUAGCUAACGCAUUAAGUGCCCCGCCUGGGGAGUACGG